UUUUUUUUUUGAAAGGCAGUAUAUAGGUAGGUUGACAUUGUCAUCAAUCAAGUAGAACUCACAUCUGUCUUUGACUUGGAAACGGUACACUUAACGAGGAGUAAUUUGCGAAAAGCAUCAAAUUCUAGGGUUUCCUCUGUAAUCCUCCCCCCAUAUAUCCAACUCCUUCGCGAUUACAAACUUCCCAAACUCGAGCGGUUUUUUAUAUUUCUGUGGUGAUUGGUCUUGAGCACAAUGGUGGUGAAAGGAAAAAAUAGAUUCUAAAAAUGCGGUUUGCUGACUUGUUGAGUUUUUGUGGGAAAAAGUUGAUGAGAUGGAGCAAACUACGUAGAAUCAGUCAUCCUGGGAUCUAUUCUUCAUUCACAGUUGGUAUUGGAAGAGCUGUCGAGGGGUUUCCAACUCGCUCAACCUUUUCUACUCUAGAAGCAUUCAGCAGUGUCAUUGAUAAGGAUGUUGGGAAAGCUAAUUUGGCGAAGGACUUAGCAUUUCUAGUUGACGAAUCUUCUAAUCUUAAUGAGACAAAACCCAAAACCCGUGUCGAGCUUAAGAGGUUACUUGAACUCCGUAUAAAGAAGAGGGUGAAGGAGCAAUAUAUUGAUGGGAAGUUUCAAGACCUCAUGCACAAGGUGGUUGCCAAUCCAGAAACUCUUCGGGAUGCUUAUGAUUCUAUUAGAGUGAACUCAAAUGUUGACUUAGCUUUGGGGGGUGACUGCAUCCCUUUUGAAGCCUUGGCAGAGGAGCUCUUGUGUGGCUGUUUCAAUGUUAAUGCCAAUGCUUUCUCUAUCUCGACAAAGGGUGCACAGAAAGAAGUACUUGUCCUUCCUAAUGUUAAGCUGAAAGUUGUUCAAGAAGCCAUUAGGAUAGUUUUGGAAGUUGUUUACAGGCCCCACUUUUCUAAAAUCUCGCAUGGUUGCCGAAGCGGAAGGGGGCAUCUCUCGGCCUUGAAGUACAUAAGCAAAGAAAUCUCUAAUCCGGACUGGUGGUUUACAUUGCUUAUCAGCAAAAAACUUGAUACUUAUGUCCUAGAUAAACUUGUUUCCACAAUGGAGGUUAAGAUAGAAGAUCCAAGCUUAUUUGCUAUCAUCAAGAGCAUGUUUGAUGCCCAAGUACUCAAUCUUGAGUUUGGAGGUUUCCCAAAAGGCCAUGGUCUUCCACAAGAAGGGGUUUUGUCGCCAAUUUUAAUGAACUUAUAUCUCGAUCUGUUUGAUCGUGAAUUUUAUAGAAUCUCAAUGAAAUUUGAAACUUUAGACAUGGGGUUUGAUAACGAACAAGAUGGUUCCCACUCCAAGUUGCGCAACUGGUUUAGAAGACAGAUGAAAGACAAUAUCAUUGAACACAAUGGUGUGGAGACAUCUAGGAUCAAGGUACAUUGUUGUCGCUUUAUGGAUGAGAUGUUUUUUGCCGUUUCUGGGUCCGAAGAUGUAGCUCUUGCUUUCAAGUCCGAGAUGCAGACUUACUUGGAGGGUUCUCUCCUCUUGAGUGUUGACAAGCAGACAGAAAUAUUACCGUGUAUUGAUCCCCAUGGGAUACAAUUUCUUGGCACUUUAGUUACAAGAAGUGUUAAAGAAUGUCCUGCAGUAAGAGCCGUUCACAAGCUAAAGGAAAAGGUACAAUUGUUUGCUUCACAGAAACGAGAGUCUUGGGAUGCUGGGACACUCAGAAUAGGGAAGAAAUGGCUAGCUCACGGGUUGAAAAAGGUUAAGGAAUCCGAGAUCAAGCAUUUAGCUGAUAAUGAAUCUCUUUUGAGUCAGAUUUCCACAUUUCGGAAAGCUGGAAUGGAAACGGAUCACUGGUACAAACUCUUGUUGAAGGUAUGGAUGCAAGACACCAAUGCCAAAUUCAUUGAUAGUGAGGAAUUCAUCUUAUCAAAGUGUAUUGCUGAACCAUCGCUGCCCCAAGAACUAAGAGAUUCCUUUUAUGAAUUUCAAAAGUGUGCAGAAGAGUAUAUUUCUUCUGAGACAGCUUCACUUAUUGCCCUUUUGCCUGAUUCUAGCUCUUCGACUGAAUCUGUCACAAUGACCGAGAUUAUUGCUCCAGUAAACAGUAUAAAGAAACGCCUCUUAAGAUAUGGGUUGACAAAUUCCAAAGGAUUUUCAUGUACAUCACGCAUGCUUAUUUUACAAGAUAGCAACCAAAUAGUGGACUGGUUCCAAGGGCUAGUUUUGCGAUGGUUUAGGUGGUAUGGUGAGUGCCAAAACUUCAAUGACAUAAAACUUAUUAUCUGUGAUGAGGUUAGGAAGUCUUGUAUCAGAACACUGGCAGCAAAGUACCGAAUACAUGAAACUGAGAUAGAGAUGAAAUUUGAUUCAGAAUUGAGCAGAAUCCCAUCAACCCCAGAGUUAGAACAUGAGCUGGCAAAUGAGAAAUCAGAUUCACAAGCAACUGAAUGCAUGUAUGGAAUUUCUUACAGUGGCUUGUGUUUGCUGUCCUUGGCAAGAAUAGUGAGCCAAUCAAGGCCUUGCAAUUGUUUUGUUAUGGGGUGCAUGGCUGUGGCACCAUGCGUUUAUACAAUUCACGUGAUGGAGAGACAGAAGUAUCCUGGUUGGAAGACUGGGUUUCCAAGUUGUAUCCAUCCGAGCUUGAACAGAAGGCGAAUUGGCUUGUGUAAGCAACAUUUGAAAGAUAUGUAUCUCGGUAGUAUAUCACUCCAAUCUAUUGAUUUUGGUGCUUGGAAAUGAAACUUAUGCGAUAAAGAUGGUCUUGAAGCUGCACAAUGCAUUGCCUAUUGAUGCUUCAAGUAUACUAAUUUACAAGUAUCAUUUCGGGAUGAUUGAUGAUUGAUGAAUCUGGUUAAUCUUCUUGUUGAAAGAAGAGACUCCUGCUACAUUUGUAAGCAUCCUGGCUUUGUUACUCAGGGCAGCCUUCGGGAGUAAUGCGAUUCUUGACUUGGUUUUGGUGCGAAGAGCUGAAGAAAAGAAUUUCAUAUUCACCAAAUGACAUUGCAGAACACGCACUUCGGAAAGUUCUUCCAGUGAAAUGCUAUACGGCAAUCUCGUAGAGCAUAUUACAAGAUUCUGUUGCCUCCAAUAUUAGUGAGAAUGGUUCGCUUGUUGCAGAUGAAACUAUUGGCUACACGCACAAACAAGAAAAUAAGGAAAGGUGGGGAACUGUUGAUAAAUUGGAAGUAAAUAAUGCUCUUUGAGAUAAUUUGGGCAGAGAUGCAGGGCCUUUCGACUGCAGAACAGGGGGUAUGUUUUAGUUAUGAUUUUUAGCGAACACCUAGCAGAGAGUAUGUCUUCCUAUAUAUCUAUGAGGAGAAAUUUCUCAAAGUUUGUCAAGGCUUCAUCAAUGUGAUAUUAGGUGCAAUCAAAUUGUCAUUCAUUUCGAAGAUUAACAUGGGAAUGGGUCAUGAUACCAACUAGGGUAUGAAAUGGAAAUGAUUAAGGCUUUGUUUGGUUGUGAGUUUAGUUUAGUUUAGUUUUGGUAGUGGGUGGAGAGAGAAAUAAGGUAAUGAUUGAAGAGAGAAGUAAUGAUUGGAGAGAGAUAGAGAGAGAUGAGAAAGUAAUAAUUGGAGAAAUAUGGUAAUGAUCGGAGAAAGAAAUAGGGUAAUGAUUAAAAUCUAAACUAAAACUAAAAAUGAAAUAGCAACCGAACACUACCUAAAUUUUCCAUAGUCUGUUUUGAAGUGAACAUUGUUGAUUGCCCAAUUUUUAAGGAACAAUUAUCUUCGCAUUGCUUUGAUGCUAAACUUAAUUCUAUACAGGCCCAAUUUAUCUGUGAAGAAGUUACUUCCUCGUGAACACUUUGUUGAAGUUUGUCCCACAUUGGUUAAUUAUCUCCUCCAAACACUAGUAUAUGAGCAUGGGCGGUCUCUCCACUCAUUGCCAAAUUGGUUUUGAAUUGGAUGCUUUAACAUGGUAUCAAAGCUAGGGUUCGGAGAAUUUGUUCCCCAUUGUUUGUGCCAUUAGUGCAUCGUUGUUGGUUGUGAUCCAUGUGUUACGGAUCAUUUGUUUAACCCUCUACGUGCGAGUCGGGGGUCGCGCCUGCGGGGGAGUGUUGGAGUUUGUCCCACAUUGGUUAAUUAUCUCCACCAAACACUAAUAUAUGAGCCUAGGUGGCCUCCCUACUCAUUGCCAAAUUGGUUUUUGAGUUGGAUGCUUUAACAUACUUCAUGCAAAAAUGAUAGCUCAGUUUGUUCCCAAUCGCUCCCAUGGCAGUUGCUCCCUCUGUAACUGGCAUUUCUCUUUUGAAUGCAACAUAAAACCCAUUCACCUGUAUCUGAAUUCCUAAAUAAACAAAAACAUCGGAUAAACGUACUUACAAUUGUUUAUGAACUGGUAAGUGAAAUUGAAAAUUCCUCUCCUUGUGCAACAUGUAUCGUUGAAACCACAGCUGCACAAGUGAUAUUACUGAAUUUCCAAAUUAGUCUCGACUCCAACUGGAGCUUCACCAACGUAGAACUCCAGAUAAUUUUACUUAUGGAUCUUCCAUUUACUAACAGAUUCAUGUAAAUCACAAGAGUUUAAUGGAGAGAGAGAGAGAGAGAGAGAGAGAGAGAGAGAGAGAUUCUGUCAUGGAGUUCCAAUGCAUCAAAUGGAUAGAGGUCGUGAUUAGGAAUGAUGUUUGGAUUGGAAGGUAAGCAUGAGUGUGUGACGCCUUAUGAUAGGAUUGUUGGGUCGAAUCCAAACCUGGAGGGAGGUUCCAUCUCCCAUGUUCUCCAUAUGAAGGAAGAAACCAGAGAAACAAAAGGUAAGGUUUAAGUGAAAAUUGUUAUGGUAGGGUUUAGUUUCCAAAUUUAGCAAGCAUGAUGAGUUAUGAUCAAGUGUUGGGCUAUGUUGCUAUUUAUACUUAUUGAGGGAUGAUUGUAGUUUGAGGAUGAGGCUCCGACAGGGAAGUUGACGAGUUUUGUACUUGGACCUACCAUAGAAAAAAGAAAGUCCUUUCUUUAAUCUUUCGCUAUUCAACGUGCCUGCUUAUUAGCAUCAUGCAUAUCUGUUCUUGUUUUACAUCUUGUAUACAAGUUAAUGGCUUGUUUUGGGUCAACAUUCUUCUACUUAGGGACAAGGAUAGCAUUCAAGAAAGAUGACUCUCCGAAAGACAUCACGUUCAAAUACAAGUUUGGGCUCUCUCCCUCAGUUGUGAUUAAACAUAAAGAAACUGGGGGAAAUGACGGCUUUGUCUGGGGAGGUAACUGUUUAGCAUAUAUUGUGGGAGAGUUGGAAAGAGAAGUUACGGACCUAUGAAUCUCCUUGCUAAUGAAAGUUCCAUCUGUCAUUCGCAAUGGAUCUUGGAGAUGGUCUAAAUUAAUCAUGCUUAUUAUGGCUCAUACUCAUUGUCCUUUCCAAACGUAAAUCUACUGAAGGGAAUAGAGUUUGGAUUCCUGCCGCAAAUUGAGUCUUUUUCCUGUCAAAACUGCAUGGAUUGUUCUUUGGGGUAGUACUAGUAGAGAGAAGGUCCCUUGAUAGGGUUCUUCUAUUUGCAAGUUGUCGCUUGCAUAAAUAGUCUACCAUGGAUAGAAGCGAAUGCUAGGAGUCUUUAAUGCAAGGCCUCUUGUCUGUUUGUAUUAUGACCAUUGAUAAGGAUUUGAGGGAAAAGAUUAGCCCACAAACGUGUAGUGGACAAAGCUCAUUCAAAUUGGUUUUUGUGCUUAGAUAGGGUCUAGUUCUUGGCCUUUAGUUCUUGUGUGUAGCUCUUUUGUUUUUGAACGUAAUGUUGAUACCACAUGGUUGGUUAGUGGGAGACAAAAGGUGUUUUCUAUAAUUCAUUUCCGCUUUUUAUUGGCUUGUGACAUCAUAGAAGAUGGUUAGGAGAGAAACCAUAAGCGAAAGCAUUUUCCUUGACAAUUGCAUGGCCUCUUCCCUUCCAUUACCAAGUUGAUGAAAACAGCACCUUAAUGUAGAUUCUUACAUCAUUCUCUUCUUAAUUUCUCUCUUUCACUUCUACUCUCCUCCCCAUAAACCCCUUCACUAAUCCACAAAUUCAUAGUCAAAACCUAGCAAAUUUUGAACAUUUUCUACACUAUAUUGCUGGUAAGAGCAUCUCCAACUGCCUUAUUUUUUCUUCCUUUUUGCCGCUUAGUCGAGCCAGACCCUAAAAACACUCACCCAACUGACUAGCCUCCCACCUCGGCAAAACCCCCUUUGCUAUAGUAACUCACCACAACAAAUGAGUUAGGACCCCUUGCCCCUCUCUCUCUCUCUCUCUCUCUCUCAGCGUUGGCUCCGGUGUUGUUGGCUCCAACGUCGUUGAUACUGUGCACGGUUUUGUUGGCGUAGGUUUGAUUCGUGCUUAAUUUUUGUGAGUUUGGUUCCAAUUUGACAAUUUCUGGAUCAUUUGUGGGUUUGAUCGUUGGAUAUUGCAAUCAGUAAUGGAUUUUGUUUGGGUUUGCUUCUAUCAAGUAGGUGCCAAAAUCUAUGUAGCACCGACACUCCAAAAGGGCGCUGUGUCCACGUAUUGGACACGGGGACACGCCCAAAUACGUAUUGGACACGCCACGUGGCGUGUCCAAUAAUUUUUAUUAUUUUUUGAUAGGGAACACGGCUGGGGGCACACCGGGGACACAACUGGGGGUCAAAAUGUAAUAUAUAUAUUUAAUUUUGAGGGGUUAGUAUGAAAUGAUUCAAAAAUAUUUGGGUUAAACUGUAAUUAUGCCUUUAUUUGGACCAUGGUAAUCUUAUACAUUCAUAUAGGACAUGUCUUCAUUAAUAGACAUGGAAGAAAAGAAAAAAUAUAUGUAUUUAUACAGAGGGCUUCAGCUACGGACGCUCUUAGAAUGCCAAAAUGCGGACUUUGCUUCCUAGCCGUUGGAUCUUAUCCAACGGCUUAGAUAAAGGGGAGAGAUGCGCGGGUAAGAAGGGAUCAUGGGUUGGGUAAAAAACGUUCGCGGGUCAUCCGGGUCUUCUCAGUCGGAUCCUAACAAAAUCCCAGUCCCCUCACUUUCACCCGUUCAGCGUAGACGAAGAGAGAGAGAGAAGAAGAGAAGAGACGACGCCAAUGAAGACGAUGACCAGAUCGAAGUAUCUCACUCGAACCAGAAGAAGAGGAACAACAAGGCUUAGUGAGCUUAUGCAGGUCUGGCUAUGGGAAUUUCAGAGGCUCGGUUAAGAGUAAUGUUCGAAGUGAAGUGCUUCAAGGAAAAGAUCAGCUAAGUUGCUUUGUUUUGAAUAUAAUAAACCUGGUAGGGAAGAUGAUCAUGCUAACUGGGUUUCUUUUGUGACUGAUGGUGCUUGGCAUGUGGGCACACAGAUGAGAGCGGCUGCUUGGUUGUUGGAUGUUGUAAAUCAAGCUGUUAUGUGCUUUGCUUCCUCUGCAACUGCUGUUGAAAUUAGAGUAGGUUACUGGUGUUAGAGUGGGCCAUUAAGGAGAAGCUGGAGACAAUAUGCAUGCAUCAAAACGAGUUGCUCGCUCUUUGUGCACGGUUUAAUUGAUCAUAGUAGUGCUCCUUUUUGUGUUAAGCAGCUUUUUCUGAUUUUUGUUCUUUAUGUUCCAGGUUUAGUUUUGUAAAAGUUGUUAAAGUUCCAAGACACUGGUUAAGUCUGCUCAUAAUCUAGCAAGGGCGGCCUUACCACGUAUGUUGUAAUGUUGGUUGUGUGGCUUGUUUAUAUAUGCAUUGAAAUUUGGUCGAAAAAAUUGGUUGACUAAUAGAACAGGUUACCCAUCAUAAACUUUGUUUCUUUGGCACAAUUACUAGUAAUAUGAGAAAAACAGUUCCUUUGUAUUUCAAAAUCA
This is an RNA transcript of Rhododendron vialii, 7668 nucleotides long. It is a transcript of the gene named nuclear intron maturase 4, mitochondrial, with no coding region annotated. Lineage: Eukaryota; Viridiplantae; Streptophyta; Magnoliopsida; Ericales; Ericaceae. The record is from RefSeq and is a predicted model, not a curated record. The transcript is spliced from 6 exons.